GGGGGUGUAGCAUAAAGGUAAUGCAACGAUCUUGACAGUCGGCAGAUUCGGGUUCGAUUCCCGAUACCUCCA
Molecule: transfer RNA, 72 nt
Filed under: Candidatus Poribacteria bacterium
Lineage: Bacteria; Candidatus Poribacteria
Description: tRNA-Ser
Rfam family: tRNA
About the family: Transfer RNA (tRNA) molecules are approximately 80 nucleotides in length. Their secondary structure includes four short double-helical elements and three loops (D, anti-codon, and T loops).
Source: RNAcentral